AUUGAACGCUGGCGGCAGGCCUAACACAUGCAAGUCGAGCGGAUGAGAGGAGCUUGCUCCUUGAUUUAGCGGCGGACGGGUGAGUAAUGCCUAGGAAUCUGCCUGGUAGUGGGGGAUAACGUUCCGAAAGGAACGCUAAUACCGCAUACGUCCUACGGGAGAAAGCAGGGGACCUUCGGGCCUUGCGCUAUCAGAUGAGCCUAGGUCGGAUUAGCUAGUUGGUGAGGUAAUGGCUCGCCAAGGCGACGAU
This 250-nucleotide ribosomal RNA is filed under the name uncultured bacterium. RNAcentral's name for it is "partial 16S ribosomal RNA". It matches the Rfam family "Bacterial small subunit ribosomal RNA", at positions 30 to 280 of the family's 1533-position model. The record is from RNAcentral.